CCUACGGGUGACAGCAGUGGGGAAUAUUGCACAAUGGGGGAAACCCUGAUGCAGCGACGCCGCGUGAGUGAAGAAGUAUUUCGGUAUGUAAAGCUCUAUCAGCAGGGAAGAAAAAAGACGGUACCUGACUAAGAAGCCCCGGCUAACUACGUGCCAGCAGCCGCGGUAAUACGUAGGGGGCAAGCGUUAUCCGGAUUUACUGGGUGUAAAGGGAGCGUAGACGGCGCGGCAAGUCUGAAGUGAAAGGCAGGGGCUUAACCCCUGAACUGCUUUGGAAACUGCCAUGCUAGAGUGCUGGAGAGGUAAGUGGAAUUCCAGGGGUAGGAGUGAAAUCCGUAGAUAUCUGGAGGAACAUCAGUGGCGAAGGCGACUAUCUGGCACAUAACUGACGCUGAGGAGCGAAAGCGUGGGUAGCAAACAGGAUUAGAUACCCUUGUAGUC
Molecule: ribosomal RNA, 441 nt
Filed under: uncultured bacterium
Lineage: Bacteria
Description: partial 16S ribosomal RNA
Rfam family: Bacterial small subunit ribosomal RNA
Source: RNAcentral